Molecule: ribosomal RNA, 1321 nt
Filed under: Enterococcus hirae
Lineage: Bacteria; Bacillati; Bacillota; Bacilli; Lactobacillales; Enterococcaceae
Description: bacterial SSU rRNA
Rfam family: Bacterial small subunit ribosomal RNA
Source: RNAcentral
CGAACGGGUGAGUAACACGUGGGUAACCUGCCCAUCAGAAGGGGAUAACACUUGGAAACAGGUGCUAAUACCGUAUAACAAUCGAAACCGCAUGGUUUUGAUUUGAAAGGCGCUUUCGGGUGUCGCUGAUGGAUGGACCCGCGGUGCAUUAGCUAGUUGGUGAGGUAACGGCUCACCAAGGCGACGAUGCAUAGCCGACCUGAGAGGGUGAUCGGCCACAUUGGGACUGAGACACGGCCCAAACUCCUACGGGAGGCAGCAGUAGGGAAUCUUCGGCAAUGGACGAAAGUCUGACCGAGCAACGCCGCGUGAGUGAAGAAGGUUUUCGGAUCGUAAAACUCUGUUGUUAGAGAAGAACAAGGAUGAGAGUAACUGUUCAUCCCUUGACGGUAUCUAACCAGAAAGCCACGGCUAACUACGUGCCAGCAGCCGCGGUAAUACGUAGGUGGCAAGCGUUGUCCGGAUUUAUUGGGCGUAAAGCGAGCGCAGGCGGUUUCUUAAGUCUGAUGUGAAAGCCCCCGGCUCAACCGGGGAGGGUCAUUGGAAACUGGGAGACUUGAGUGCAGAAGAGGAGAGUGGAAUUCCAUGUGUAGCGGUGAAAUGCGUAGAUAUAUGGAGGAACACCAGUGGCGAAGGCGGCUCUCUGGUCUGUAACUGACGCUGAGGCUCGAAAGCGUGGGGAGCAAACAGGAUUAGAUACCCUGGUAGUCCACGCCGUAAACGAUGAGUGCUAAGUGUUGGAGGGUUUCCGCCCUUCAGUGCUGCAGCUAACGCAUUAAGCACUCCGCCUGCGGAGUACGACCGCAAGGUUGAAACUCAAAGGAAUUGACGGGGGCCCGCACAAGCGGUGGAGCAUGUGGUUUAAUUCGAAGCAACGCGAAGAACCUUACCAGGUCUUGACAUCCUUUGACCACUCUAGAGAUAGAGCUUCCCCUUCGGGGGCAAAGUGACAGGUGGUGCAUGGUUGUCGUCAGCUCGUGUCGUGAGAUGUUGGGUUAAGUCCCGCAACGAGCGCAACCCUUAUUGUUAGUUGCCAUCAUUUAGUUGGGCACUCUAGCAAGACUGCCGGUGACAAACCGGAGGAAGGUGGGGAUGACGUCAAAUCAUCAUGCCCCUUAUGACCUGGGCUACACACGUGCUACAAUGGGAAGUACAACGAGUCGCAAAGUCGCGAGGCUAAGCUAAUCUCUUAAAGCUUCUCUCAGUUCGGAUUGUAGGCUGCAACUCGCCUACAUGAAGCCGGAAUCGCUAGUAAUCGCGGAUCAGCACGCCGCGGUGAAUACGUUCCCGGGCCUUGUACACACCGCCCGUCACACCACGA